This 301-nucleotide ribosomal RNA is filed under the name uncultured bacterium. RNAcentral's name for it is "partial 16S ribosomal RNA". It matches the Rfam family "Bacterial small subunit ribosomal RNA", at positions 509 to 807 of the family's 1533-position model. The record is from RNAcentral.
CAGUCGCCGCGGUAAUACGAAGGGUGCAAGCGUUACUCGGAAUUACUGGGCGUAAAGCGUGCGUAGGUGGUUGUUUAAGUCUGCUGUGAAAGCCCUGGGCUCAACCUGGGAAUUGCAGUGGAUACUGGGUCACUAGAGUGUGGUAGAGGAUAGUGGAAUUUCCGGUGUAGCAGUGAAAUGCGUAGAGAUCGGAAGGAACAUCUGUGGUGAAGGCGACUAUCUGGGCCAACACUGACACUGAGGCACGAAAGCGUGGGGAGCAAACAGGAUUAGAUACCCCUGUAGUCCCUGUCUCUUAUAC